This 179-nucleotide ribosomal RNA is filed under the name Ruellia cedilloi. RNAcentral's name for it is "5.8S ribosomal RNA". The stretch from base 1 to 133 matches the Rfam family "5.8S ribosomal RNA", at positions 24 to 154 of the family's 154-position model. From Rfam's summary of the family: 5.8S ribosomal RNA (5.8S rRNA) is a component of the large subunit of the eukaryotic ribosome. It is transcribed by RNA polymerase I as part of the 45S precursor that also contains 18S and 28S rRNA. The record is from RNAcentral. Lineage: Eukaryota; Viridiplantae; Streptophyta; Magnoliopsida; Lamiales; Acanthaceae.
GCUCUCGCAUCGAUGAAGAACGUAGCGAAAUGCGAUACUUGGUGUGAAUUGCAGAAUCCCGUGAACCAUCGAGUCUUUGAACGCAAGUUGCGCCCGAAGCCUUCGGGCCGAGGGCACGCCUGCCUGGGCGUCACGCAUCGCGUCGCCCCCCCACCCCGCUCGAACAAAGCGGGUGCGUC